Molecule: ribosomal RNA, 464 nt
Filed under: uncultured bacterium
Lineage: Bacteria
Description: bacterial SSU rRNA
Rfam family: Bacterial small subunit ribosomal RNA
Source: RNAcentral
CCUACGGGUCGCAGCAGUGGGGAAUAUUGCACAAUGGGCGCAAGCCAGAUGCAGCCAUGCCGCGUGUAUGAAGAAGGCCUUAGGGUUGUAAAGUACUUUCAGCGGGGAGGAAGGCGAUAAGGUUAAUAACCUUGUCGAUUGACGUUACCCGCAGAAGAAGCACCGGCUAACUCCGUGCCAGCAGCCGCGGUAAUACGGAGGGUGCAAGCGUUAAUCGGAAUUACUGGGCGUAAAGCGCACGCAGGCGGUCUGUCAAGUCGGAUGUGAAGUCCCCGGCUCAACCUGGGAACUGCAUCCGAAACUGGCAGGCUAGAGUCUUGUAGAGGGGGGUAGAAUUCCAGGUGUAGCGGUGAAAUGCGUAGAGAUCUGGAGGAGUACCGGUGGCGAAGGCGGCCCCCUGGACAAAGACUGACGCUCAGGUGCGAAAGCGUGGGGAGCAAACAGGAUUAGAUACCCGUGUAGUC